CUAUAUGCCUGUUCAAAAUUAUGGCAUGGGCAUCGUUUUUUCAUAUAGUUUUCCUUUCAUUUUGGUUGAGCUUUUUUCGCGGGAAAAUCGAGAAAGAGGUAAGGAGCAUGUCAUUUUUAAAUUCCUAAAAAUACGUUUUGCUUGACCUAUAUUGCCUGCCACAAGAUUGAUGACGCUGAAUGGGAUUUUGUGAAGUUCUAGAAUGUUUUUAAAUAUUCGGAAGUUGGGAUCGAAACGGGCAUUAGAAAAUUGGCAUUUUUUGGCAAUAAUUGAGAACAACAAUGAAAACUUACCUUUAGAAAUGUUUUUUUAUUCAAAAGUGCAGAAAAAACGUAUUUUGCACUGUUUUUCUACGCCAGAAGUACCGUAGUGACAUCAAUGCGGAGUUUCCCCGUGUGUUAAGUUCAAACACAAAUACCUAACGAACUGACAAGAUGAACGAUCUUAGACUACGGUAGGAUAUAU
This 465-nucleotide long non-coding RNA is filed under the name Mytilus galloprovincialis (Mediterranean mussel). Lineage: Eukaryota; Metazoa; Mollusca; Bivalvia; Mytilida; Mytilidae. The record is from RNAcentral.